This 450-nucleotide ribosomal RNA is filed under the name uncultured bacterium. RNAcentral's name for it is "bacterial SSU rRNA". It matches the Rfam family "Bacterial small subunit ribosomal RNA", at positions 32 to 484 of the family's 1533-position model. The record is from RNAcentral.
AAUCAACGCUGGCGGCGUGCCUAACACAUGCAAGUCGAACGCGAAAGUCCCGCAAGGGAUUAGUAGAGUGGCAAACGGGUGAGUAACACGUGGGUGACCUGCCUUCGAGUGGGGGAUAACGUCCCGAAAGGGACGCUAAUACCGCAUGACAUCCUGCCUUUUAACAGGCGGAGAUCAAAGCUGGGGAUCGCAAGACCUAGCGCUUGAAGAGGGGCCCGCGCCUGAUUAGCUAGNGGUGAGGUAACGGCUCACCAAGGCGACGAUCAGUAUCCGGCCUGAGAGGGCGCACGGACACACUGGAACUGAAACACGGUCCAGACUCCUACGGGAGGCAGCAGUGGGGAAUUUUGCGCAAUGGGGGAAACCCUGACGCAGCAACGCCGCGUGGAGGAUGAAAUCCCUUGGGAUGUAAACUCCUUUCGAUCGGGAAGAUAAUGACGGUACCGAGAG